Molecule: long non-coding RNA, 221 nt
Filed under: Elaeis guineensis (African oil palm)
Lineage: Eukaryota; Viridiplantae; Streptophyta; Magnoliopsida; Arecales; Arecaceae
Description: long non-coding RNA (EGUI_LNC030323)
Source: RNAcentral
GGGGACUAUCCCUUUAAUGACAGCGACUUGAUCAAGCGAUUGAUCGACGGCUGCAUCCUGUCCAAAGUCGUCCGGAGGAUUGAUCGUGCCGAUCCCGAACAGCGGGUCUGGGACUCCCUAGGGUCCUUUCUCGAGAUAAACAGAUUCACCUUUCCCCUCAUCUUUGCUCCUUCAUUUUAUUAAUUCCCAACCUUCAUUCUGACUUCCUAGCCGCCCUUGCA